RNAcentral lists this ribosomal RNA (467 nucleotides) under uncultured bacterium. RNAcentral describes it as "partial 16S ribosomal RNA". It matches the Rfam family "Bacterial small subunit ribosomal RNA", at positions 28 to 507 of the family's 1533-position model. The record is from RNAcentral.
GAUGAACGCUGGCGGCGUGCUUAACACAUGCAAGUCGAACGGAAAGGCCCAAGCUUGCUUGGGUACUCGAGUGGCGAACGGGUGAGUAACACGUGGGUGAUCUGCCCUGCACUUCGGGAUAAGCCUGGGAAACUGGGUCUAAUACCGGAUAGGACCACUUCUUGGAUGUUGUGGUGGAAAGUUUUUUCGGUGUGGGAUGAGCUCGCGGCCUAUCAGCUUGUUGGUGGGGUAAUGGCCUACCAAGGCGUCGACGGGUAGCCGGCCUGAGAGGGUGUACGGCCACAUUGGGACUGAGAUACGGCCCAGACUCCUACGGGAGGCAGCAGUGGGGAAUAUUGCACAAGGGGCGCAAGCCUGAUGCAGCGACGCCGCGGGGGGGAUGACGGCCUUCGGGUUGUAAACUCCUUUCGCUAGGGACGAAGCGUUUUGUGACGGUACCUGGAGAAGAAGCACCGGCUAACUACGUG